CGAGUUAAGGGAGUAACACCCGAAGCCGUAGCGAAAGCGAGUCUUAAUAGGGCGUAUAGUCGCUGGGAUUAGGCCCGAAAACCGUGUGAGCUACCCAUGGGCAGGGGUGAAGCGAGUCUAAUCACUCGUGGAGGCCCGAACCCACUAACGUUGCAAAGUUAGGGGAUGACCUGUGGGUAGAGGUGAUAUGCCAAUCGAACACGGAGAUAGCUGGUUCUCCCCGAAAUAGCUUUAGGGCUAGCGUCAUGCGUUUAGAACUGGAGGUACAGCACUGAAUGGGCUAUGGGGCUUACAGCUUACAGAACCCAAUCAAACUCGGAAUGCCAGUUCUCCAUAGCAUGGCAGUCGGACUCCGGGAGAUGAGUUUCGGGGUCGAAAGGGAAACAGCCCAGAUCAUCGGCUAAGGUCCUAAAAUCUAUGCUAAGUGGGAAACGAGGUGAGGUUACUUAAACAACCAGGAGGUUGGCUUAGAAGCAGCCACCCUUUAAAAAAGUGCGUAACAGCUUACUGGUCUAGUGACUUCGCGCGGAAAACGUAACGGGGG
Molecule: ribosomal RNA, 544 nt
Filed under: uncultured bacterium
Lineage: Bacteria
Description: bacterial LSU rRNA
Rfam family: Bacterial large subunit ribosomal RNA
Source: RNAcentral